This 801-nucleotide non-coding RNA is filed under the name Homo sapiens (human). Lineage: Eukaryota; Metazoa; Chordata; Mammalia; Primates; Hominidae. The record is from RNAcentral.
GACAGCGGCCCAGCCAGCCCAGGUGGGAGCGUGGCAGUGCGGGUGGCCCAGGACAGCGGCUCAGCCUCUGCAUCUGAGUGGUCCCUGAGCCAUGCUAGGGCCUGAGCCGGGCUCUCGGGCUGUCCCCUGCUCUCACCCCAAUGCUUUCUCUGCCCAGCCCCUCCCCACGUCGGGCUCCCCUGCUCUCACCCCAGUGCUUUCUCUGCCCAGCCCCUCCCCACGUCGGGGUCUGGCCGUCUGCCUGGUCCCUCCUGCUCUGGGCAGCUCGGCUGCCUGUCGGCUGUGAGUCACCAGCAGGCACGGCCCACGCUCUCGCAGGAUUCCCGCCCCACCGGCUUGGCCGGCUAGGCUUAGGGGCUGGCUCGUCAGAGGGGCGGGACUGGGGGCGCCUUCAGUACUUCCUUGGUCUUCUGGUCCCUAGGGGCCAAGGUUGGGGGAUGGCCCAAGGGAGGUCAGAUGGGGUCAAGUGGAGGUGGGAAUCAGACAAGUGAGGAACAGGCUGGAAUUCAAGCAUGGUCAGGUGGGGGUCAGGUGCAGGGUGUGCCCCAAGCCAGUCGUGUCCCAGGAAGCUGGGACGUGGGCUGCCUCUCACCUGCUCUUGUGACCACACAGGCGAUGAGCUGGAGAUGAUCCGGCCCAGCGUCUACCGCAACGUGGCGCGUCAGCUGCACAUCUCCCUGCAGUCUGAGCCUGUGGUGACCGAUGCGUUCCUGGCCGUGGCUGGCCACAUCUUCUCUGCAGGUAUGCCCAGCCUGCCCGUCCCAUGGGACCUCAGGGAGGGAUCCAGGGUCUGUGGCUCAG